UUGUGGGCGGGGCUAAGUUCGGCUGGCAUCCAGGCUAGCAAGGAAGAGUCAUUACUCAUCCUUUCUAGGUUCACAAUGCCAUCAACCAGGAUCAGUAAAGACAUUUUAACUCUUCUCAUUAUGUCUUUUGUGUUUGGUGAAGGUAUUUCAGCACGUGUGCUGAGAAGCAGAGCUGAUGAAGGUACAGCAGAGUUAAAGCUGCUCUUUGACCCUGGCCUCCCUUAAACAGCAUGUCACUGAUGAUUACGGUGAGAGGCCCUUCCCUCUUCCUCUGCCACCCGACACUGAAAAUCCUUAUCAACCUAACCUGGACGAUGAAUACUUCUAACAGAAACACAACAGAUCCUCACGCAAAUCAGUGAAGCUGAUCUGUCCUGCAGGGAGGAUUACCUCCAGCAAAAACAACCGCAUGUUCAAAUAAAACAUGCAUGUUUCCUUGUAUAUUUAAUCCUUUUGAGGACAAUACAAUAAACAAAACCUC
This is a long non-coding RNA of Perca fluviatilis (European perch), 481 nucleotides long. RefSeq lists it as uncharacterized. NCBI's taxonomy places the organism in Eukaryota, Metazoa, Chordata, Actinopteri, Perciformes, Percidae. The transcript is spliced from 3 exons. The record is from RefSeq and is a predicted model, not a curated record.